CUUUCUUUGUCUAAUUGUCUUCCCAAAAGACCAACAAAACCUCCACACACACACAAACACAACAAACACGAUGAUAAGAAAGCAGCCGCAUGCUCAAAACGAAAGCCAUAAACAUAAAAGCCUCUCUCUCUCUCUCUCUCUCUCUCUCUCUCGCUCAAACAUCAAGUCAUCACGACUUUCCUUAUUUGGUUGUUCGGGGGGUGAAAGGUCGCCGUUUCGGCACUGUGGAGUUGCUCAGGAAACGUCAGUUCUCUCUCUGGCAACGUGUCACCGACAACUGUACGUCUUCUUCUGCAUGAUGCAGAGAGAGAGAGAGAGAGAGAUGGAGAAGGAGAUAAGAUCAUAAUUAAGAGCAGUAGCAGUGAAUGAAGAGAGAGAGAGACACACACACACAGAGAUGGAAGAGAAGGGUACACAGCUUUUUGGUAUUGGGUUUUGUGGAGGUUGUUUCUCUUUUUUAUUUCUUUUCUUUCUUGGCCUGCAGAGCAAACCCUAAAUCCUCAUUGACGUCUUACCCAUUGAUUUCUCUUACACCAAAACAGCAGGAACCGUAGAUUUUUGCGGCUUUUGGUAGGUUUCCUUAUAUGGGUUUCUGUCUGUGUUCUCAGAUCUGACUCAUAUAAUAUCGAUCAUUCUCUUUCUUUCCGUUUACCUUUUUCUAGUUUUGCUUUCCUCCCAGUUUCCACUCCCUUCAUUUCUUUGUUAUUAAUCAAACUUUGCGAUUUGUGACUUCAAUUUCUUGUGCCGUGGGUUGUGAAUUUGGUUGGAACAGAGAUGGAAAUUGACAGAAGAGAGUGAGCACACAGAGGCACUUGGCAUAAAGCGUAUGCUAUUGCUUUUGCGUGCUCAUGUCUCUUUCUGUCAGCUUCCCAGUUCCACUGCCCGAUUAAUUUAAUUUCUUAUUUACUUCUCAUCCAUCUCUGGCCUGUGUUUCUUCCACUACUUGUAUUUUCUCUCUCUCUCUCUCCAAAUCUUAAAUCUUAAAGCCUUUGUGGGGCUUCAAAGCAAUGCUUAAUUUGCUACUUUGAAAUCGUUGAUUUUGCAGGAAGGCUUAAGGAUUCAUUUUCGAACCGUCAACAUUAUCAAGUUGAAGUUUUUUUCGUAUGUAGAUAGAUGAUUAAUUUCGAGAUGAAAGAGGCUUUUGGAAAACCAAUAAUGACUGAGAAAGACUGAGAAUUAUAUUCAAGAUCCUCUAUUGGAAACUUCCUGCAUUAUACAAUCCUGGGAUAUUAUCGCCGUGCUGUCGAUGAUUGAUCAUCAAUAAUAAUCACCUUGUGCUGUUGGGACGUCGUUAACCUUGGAGCUAGCUCUAGUCUCUAGCAGCGGAUGAAGUCAAAACAAUAUCUUUAUAAACAGUUCGUCUAUAAAUCAUUAGCUGUAAUGUAAAAGCACAGUUUGUUUUUAUAUCUAUUUUGAUUUUUAUUUGUGAAGAAAUUCGCUUUUGGAGGUGGUUUUUCUUUCUGUUUUAGAAGCAAGGAAACAGUAAUGUGCAGAAAGUUGGCCUUCAUUGAAUAUGUAGUGAUUUCUUCUUCUC
Non-coding RNA from Prunus avium (sweet cherry), 1534 nucleotides. NCBI's taxonomy places the organism in Eukaryota, Viridiplantae, Streptophyta, Magnoliopsida, Rosales, Rosaceae. The record is from RefSeq and is a predicted model, not a curated record.